UGCCGAGCUGGUGAAAUUGGUAUACACGCAGGUUUUAGGUACCUGUGUCAUAAUGACUUGGGGGUUCAAGUCCCCCGCUCGGUAA
This 85-nucleotide transfer RNA is filed under the name Candidatus Portiera aleyrodidarum (primary endosymbiont of Bemisia tabaci). Its description in RNAcentral is "tRNA-Leu". It matches the Rfam family "tRNA". From Rfam's summary of the family: Transfer RNA (tRNA) molecules are approximately 80 nucleotides in length. Their secondary structure includes four short double-helical elements and three loops (D, anti-codon, and T loops). Lineage: Bacteria; Pseudomonadati; Pseudomonadota; Gammaproteobacteria; Johnevansiales (SeqCode); Johnevansiaceae (SeqCode). The record is from RNAcentral.